RNAcentral lists this ribosomal RNA (783 nucleotides) under Bradyrhizobium sp. TSBF-666. RNAcentral describes it as "bacterial SSU rRNA". It matches the Rfam family "Bacterial small subunit ribosomal RNA", at positions 688 to 1462 of the family's 1533-position model. Lineage: Bacteria; Pseudomonadati; Pseudomonadota; Alphaproteobacteria; Hyphomicrobiales; Nitrobacteraceae. The record is from RNAcentral.
GUGGAUAUUCGCAAAGAACCACCAGUGGCGGAGGGCGGGCUCCCCGGGCCCAGAUACCUGCCGCUAAGGCUCGAAAGCCUGGGGGAGCAAACCGGGUUUAGAUAACCUGGUAGUCCCCCGCCGUAAACGAUGAAUGCCACCCGUUAGUGGGUUUACUCACUAGUGGGGCAGGCUAACGCUUUAAGCAUUCCGCCCGGGGAGUACGGUCGCAAGAUUAAAACUCAAAGGAAUGACGGGGGGCCCGCACAAGCGGUGGAGCAUGUGGUUUAAUUCGGCGCAACGCGCAGAACCUUACCAGCCCUUGACAUCCCGGUCGCGGACUCCAGAGACGGAGUUCUUCAGUUCGGCUGGACCGGAGACAGGUGCUGCAUGGCUGUCGUCAGCUCGUGUCGUGAGAUGUUGGGUUAAGUCCCGCAACGAGCGCAACCCCCGUCCUUAGUUGCUACCAUUUAGUUGAGCACUCUAAGGAGACUGCCGGUGAUAAGCCGCGAGGAAGGUGGGGAUGACGUCAAGUCCUCAUGGCCCUUACGGGCUGGGCUACACACGUGCUACAAUGGCGGUGACAAUGGGAUGCUAAGGGGCGACCCUUCGCAAAUCUCAAAAAGCCGUCUCAGUUCGGAUUGGGCUCUGCAACUCGAGCCCAUGAAGUUGGAAUCGCUAGUAAUCGUGGAUCAGCACGCCACGGUGAAUACGUUCCCGGGCCUUGUACACACCGCCCGUCACAGCAUGGGAGUUGGUUUACCUGAAGACUUACCAAUAUACAGUUUACGUAAGAUCAUCUGG